UGACUCCCUCUGCCUUCCAGAAGGAGAUGUCUCUCACCAUCAAGCAGAGGCUGGCCAGCACUCAGGAGAUGAAUCUGCCCCAGGUUGUCCAGCUUCAAGACAAGAGCGAGACCUCUAUUACAAGCUCUCAGCAGUUGGCCUGGAUCACAGCUCACCUCAGCCUUGCCCACCAGAGGUGGUGUUUCACAGCUACACCCCUGGUGAGGUGUGUGAAGUGCCACUGGCUCUGAGGAACAGGGACAAGGAUUACUCCCACCAGUUCCUCUGCAGCACUGAAAGGAAAGAGUUCAUUGUGCCAAUUUGUGCUGUUGGUGCCUGAGCCAUCCCGGACUCCCCUGGCCAGCUGGACUUCUCAGCCUGUCGGGUCAAGUGUAGCACCCAGAAGACUCUGCUGGUUGGAAACCAGGGCAGCUCGUUACCAGCUGAGCACCCAGAGCUUUGUUCCCUUCUGUUACAAGUUCCAAGAGACAAACAAAGGACCACACAUCCAUCAGCUGUACUGGAGAAGGUUUCGACAUAUUUCAGCAGCAUCGUUGUCCCCCUGCCCUCGGUGGCACCAAGAGUAGAUGCUUCCCAGAGCCCCAGACCUGGCAGCCCCGUGUUUAAGCUGUGGCUGCUGCAGAUGGACCUGAGGCCAGGCCAGACUGUGAACAUGGUGCUGGAAGGCUGCUCCAGCACUGCCCAGCAACCCAGUGCUAUCCUGGCUCUUCAGUGUCUGCAAUGUGGACCAGCAGCCUCUCACUGCAGACACCAAGGCCAUGACGCUCGAGGUAGGGGAGGAACUUCAUCUCAGCAUCCAGUUUAACCCAGCUUAUGAGAACAAUCUGAACAGCUGGGUGCCGGAGAGGGUUCUCAGGAUGUACUUCAUGGAGCAUCCUCAUGAGGAGCAGAUCACUGUCCGGGGAGAAGUCUACUUCCCAAAUCUCCAGACCCAGGCCAUGGACUUUGGCUGCAACAUGAAUGACACUGAACAAGUGCUGUAUGUGGAGAUGACCAACUGCAGCCCAAUUCCUGCCCAGUACCACUGGUCAUUCCAGACAGACAGACAGGUGAACACCAUGAGCAUGGUGCUGCUCUUUUCCCAGCUCUCUGUCCGGCAAGUCAUCCAGCCUGCCCCCAGGCCUGCGCAUGGCACCUUCUGAUUUUGCUCUGGGAGCACUGCAGCUUGUUUGAGGCAGCUUCUUCUGCAUCAGGGCUGGUAGCCACUGUCACACACCUGGAGGACUUUGACUUGAGGCAUUGCAACGGAAGCUGGAGCCCAGAACAGCUGCAUGGGAGUCACUUAACUCUCACACUUGGGUUUGGGGAGCCUCAGCCAACUCCUUCGCAUGAGACUUGUAGUAGAUUGUUUUUCUGUUGUAAUCUUAAGGUGUUCCUUAUUGUGAGUUUAUAGUGGUUUGUUCCAUGUAGCCUGGUUAGUUUCCCCAGUGGUUUUGCCUUGAAGUUGUUUACUGCUAUUUUCCCGCCUAAUCUUAGGUCAGUCCCCAGGUCAAUCUCCCUUGCACCUUCCUGAUUUUCUGGAAAUCCAAUGUACUUCCCUACCAAUCCUGCCCUCUUCCCUUGUUCAUCAAAUGUAACCCCACCCCUUUCUCUAGAAGCUUCCUUGUCUAUCACCCUUCCCUUGAAGUUCCGUUGGUGUGCCAAGCCUGAUCCCCUCCCAUGUUAUCCCCUAUUGGUUACCUAGAAUCUGAUCCCUGCCUACAUUCCUUCCCUGCUGUUCUACUAUUGGUUAUCCUUCCCUAGUACCCUCCCCUGGUCUUAAGUUCCUGUUACCCUGUUGGAGCUUUGUCACUGGACUUUGUCACUUUGUCCUUGGACUUUCUCGGAGAUUAAACCGUCUUGAGAACUUA
Motacilla alba alba is the source of this 1850-nucleotide long non-coding RNA. RefSeq lists it as uncharacterized. The transcript has 7 exons. The record is from RefSeq and is a predicted model, not a curated record. Lineage: Eukaryota; Metazoa; Chordata; Aves; Passeriformes; Motacillidae.